Molecule: long non-coding RNA, 422 nt
Organism: Rhodamnia argentea
Lineage: Eukaryota; Viridiplantae; Streptophyta; Magnoliopsida; Myrtales; Myrtaceae
Exons: 2
Source: RefSeq, a predicted model, not a curated record
GGUAUUAUGCAGAGGACGGAAUCGAAUCAACGCAAAAAGAAGAGGCCGGUGGCAUCACGGGGGGGGGAGGGAGGAAAAAAUAAAAAAGACCGAGGGUCGAGGCAUGGCAAAUGCCGGUGACGAAAGAGAGCACAAGAUGAACACGAUAAGCCCACCAAAACAUCAAGAAAAAUGGAUAGACGGUAGAAGAAAGAGAAGGUUUGAAGCUGCUAAACUUAAGUUCCACUUUGAUAUUCCACGCACCGCACACCUACAAUUUCUUUCUGUACAUACAAAAACGAAGGGAGAGAGAGAGAGAGAACUGAAAAAGUGAAAGAAACAGAGAGAAGCAUGGCGAUGGAUGGUGGCGGAGGGAAGAGAGAUUCUUCCUAUCUAAUCUCUUUCUAUGCCUAGUCGGUGGUGGACGAAGAUCUAUCAAGAAA